UCAUGAAAAUGAAGUAAACCUCAGUAAUGGAACUUGAGUGAGGAGUUGCGUCGUGCCACGACGUUAAAUAAGCCGCUUAUUGGGAGGCAACCGAAGGUUUUACCGCUUUAUUUUUCCUUUAAGAAAUAAUGGUGUGUUGUUUGUGUAGGUCAAAGUAUGGAAAGUGAGUGAAAAGUGCAAAUGGGUGAGCCAAAGGUCGAGUCGGCGCAUCGCCGAAGAAGUCGGUGACCCUAACUUAAACCACCAUUAGACUAAAGUCAACUUCAAAGUGGAGUCUGUAAAACUCGGUGUGCCCAAGAACUUAUUUGCGAAUGGCCGACCUGGUCGGCGAUUGCGAUCUAGUCUGCUGUUUGGACCCCUUGUUUAACAAGAUGUCGAGUAAAACUCUGCGAGGUAAGUAUUCACUAGGCGAGUCGCUGAAUGAAUCGGCGACCACGACUAAUGUUGCCGAAUGGGGGAGAACUGGAUUUUUUUAUAACAGGACAAAGGUUUAAACUUCCAGCUCUUUAACUUUCCGUCGCUUUUAAUCUUCCAAAUCUCGCACCUAGUU
RNAcentral lists this long non-coding RNA (550 nucleotides) under Solanum tuberosum (potato). RNAcentral describes it as "long non-coding RNA (STUB_LNC003671)". The record is from RNAcentral. Lineage: Eukaryota; Viridiplantae; Streptophyta; Magnoliopsida; Solanales; Solanaceae.